This 1302-nucleotide long non-coding RNA is filed under the name Dicentrarchus labrax (European seabass). Its description in RNAcentral is "lncRNA (ENSDLAG00005028081.1)". Lineage: Eukaryota; Metazoa; Chordata; Actinopteri; Moronidae. The record is from RNAcentral.
AUGGCAGGGAAAAGACACAUCAAUGUCAAUACUCAAGCACAACAUGGUGUUGUACCUGGUAGAAGAGCAGAUGAAGUAGACCAGCCAUUUCCAAACAAGCCUGUUAGCCACAGAAGACCUCUCAACACCAGGAGACAAGACACACUUGAUCUGAAUGAUUUUGAAAAAAUCAAUAUUACAAAAGAACCAAAAGGCUCUUUGUCACACCAACUGCAUCCUUCAAAUGUGGAGACCACUGCAUCCCAACACCCAAGAAAAGACCCACUCAGACUGCCCAGAGGAGAGCUGCAGAUGGCCAAAGCAAUUUAUGCAAAAGAACUCAUGCUACAGGAGAAGUUGUGGAGGGUUGAAGAAAAAAUAAGACAAAAAAUCCAGACAGACUAUGGUGAUGUCCAAAAGAGUGAGGAGGAGAGGCACAGCAGGGGACAAGCUCCCACAAAGACCAGGAUGUCUGAGCUGCAGAGGAGAGAACCAAUGAGAAACAGAGAAAUGAUAAAGCAAGAGAAAAGACAGGAGGAUGUUAAACAACUUAGGAAGAGGCAAGAUCAGAGGAAUGAGGACAGAAUGAGGAAUACACAUGAAGAAGAGGGGGUCAGAUUGGCAAGAAGGGAACCAGAAGUUGCACAGAGUCCCCAGUCGCAAAGAAAAGGACGCAAAGGAACUGAUGAGAUCAUAGUUCGUGGGGAAGAAGUGAGUGGAGAGCUGAACAAAUCAAGGUGGGAGAACGUGAAAGAGCGCACCAGAAUAAAAGCAGAGGAUGAAAAAGAUAAUAGCAUUUGGGGAGGUGUGAAAGCAGAAAAGCAAAUCAAACCAGAAAACAAUACAACCUCCAUGGGCGAUAAAGUUUGGACAAGAGAAAAGAAAUACAUGGAAAGGACAUGUAAGGAGAUUUACGGUUCAGACGAAGAAGAAGACCUGCCUCAAACGAGUCAACAGAAAACGUCUCACAGAGCUGCAACAGAAAACCACAGAGGUGAAGGAAGAAAUCUGUCCGAGGAACCACUGCUUCCACCCUUUUCUAGUCCUUCUCUAUCCAGCAGACCAGAGCAGGGGGAGCUCGACCUUAAAGACAGCACAUAUGACGGCCUCCAGCUUCUUCCUUGCAGAACCUGCAACAGAAAGUUUGCACACAAAAGAUUAGAGACGCAUGUUCAAAUCUGUAAAAAGGUGAAACAGUCACAUCGUCAAGUCUUCAACUCCUACGUUAAUAGGACCAAGGGAUCUGCAAUGGAGGAGUUCUUAAAAACCCACAGCAGAAGCAAGACUCCAGAGGUAGGCCGGUAUCAUAUUUCCUUCUUUUAA